This 75-nucleotide transfer RNA is filed under the name Clostridiales bacterium. RNAcentral's name for it is "tRNA-Gly". It matches the Rfam family "tRNA". Rfam says of the family: Transfer RNA (tRNA) molecules are approximately 80 nucleotides in length. Their secondary structure includes four short double-helical elements and three loops (D, anti-codon, and T loops). Further hydrogen bonds mediate the characteristic L-shaped molecular structure. tRNAs have two regions of fundamental functional importance: the anti-codon, which is responsible for specific mRNA codon recognition, and the 3' end, to which the tRNAs corresponding amino acid is attached (by aminoacyl-tRNA synthetases). tRNAs cope with the degeneracy of the genetic code in two manners: having more than one tRNA (with a specific anti-codon) for a particular amino acid; and 'wobble' base-pairing, i.e. permitting non-standard base-pairing at the 3rd anti-codon position. The record is from RNAcentral. Lineage: Bacteria; Bacillati; Bacillota; Clostridia; Eubacteriales.
GCGGUAGUAGCUCAGUGGUAGAGUGCCGCCUUGCCAAGGCGGAUGUCGCGAGUUCAAAUCUCGUCUACCGCUCCA